This 355-nucleotide ribosomal RNA is filed under the name uncultured bacterium. Its description in RNAcentral is "bacterial SSU rRNA". It matches the Rfam family "Archaeal small subunit ribosomal RNA", at positions 390 to 747 of the family's 1478-position model. The record is from RNAcentral.
UUCUGAUAAAGGAAUCUUUUGCCCGUUGUAAACGCACGGGCGAAUAAGGGGUGGGCAAGUCUGGUGUCAGCCGCCGCGGUAAUACCAGCACCUCGAGUGGUCAGGACGAUUAUUGGGCCUAAAGCAUCCGUAGCUGGUCUUGCAAGUCUCCGGUUAAAUCCACCUGCUCAACAGAUGGGCCGCUGGAGAUACUACAAGACUAGGGAGUGGGAGAGGCAGACGGUACUCGGGGGGUAGGGGUAAAAUCCUCUGAUCCUUUGAAGACCACCAGUGGCGAAGGCGGUCUGCCAGAACACGUUCGACAGUGAGGGAUGAAAGCUGGGGGAGCAAACCGGAUUAGAUACCCCCGUAGUCC